GCUAUGGCUUAGGGUUUAUAAUUUUUCACCAGAAAUCAUCGAUUACGCUCCUCAUGGCCACCAAGCUAAUUUCUCUUUAUCUUCUUCUUUUGCUCUUCAUUUUUCAGUUUCGACUCUCUUUGUCAGAACAGACAAACUCUAUGCAGUCUGUUCCUGAUCUCCAGAAGUCUAUGUACACGGUCAUUGAUGGAUAUCCUUGUGUACGGC
This 207-nucleotide unclassified non-coding RNA is filed under the name Hevea brasiliensis (rubber tree). The record is from RNAcentral. Lineage: Eukaryota; Viridiplantae; Streptophyta; Magnoliopsida; Malpighiales; Euphorbiaceae.